Molecule: ribosomal RNA, 464 nt
Filed under: uncultured bacterium
Lineage: Bacteria
Description: partial 16S ribosomal RNA
Rfam family: Bacterial small subunit ribosomal RNA
Source: RNAcentral
GACGAACGCUGGCGGCGUGCUUAACACAUGCAAGUCGUACGGUACGGCCCUUUCGUUUGUACACGAGUGGAGAGCGGGAGGGUAACACGUGAGUAACCUGCCCACCCCUUUGGUAUAACGCUAGGAAACUGGAGCUAAUACUGGAUAUGUGCUCCUGCUGCAUGGGGGGGGUGGGGAGGUCCGGCGGUUGUGGAUGGACUUGCGGCCUAGCAGCUGGUUUGUGGGGUAGUGGGCUACCAAGGCGGCGACGGGUAGCCGGCCUGAGAGGGUGACCGGCCACAGUGGGACUGAGAUACGGCCCAGAGUCCUACGGGAGGCAGCAGUGGGGAAGAUUGCACAAUGGGCGCAAGCCGGAUGCAGCAACGCCGCGUGCGGGAUGACGGCCUUCGGGGUGUAAGACGCAUGCAGCAGGGACGAAGCUUUUUGUGACGGUACCUGCAGAAGAAGCACCGGCUAACUACGUG